CUCUCAAUUUUCUAUGGAGUAUUUUGUUUCUUGUAUUUCAGCCAAGUAGGAACAUUUCCUGUUUCAAAACUUCUAAAUAUUUGUUUUCUUCUUUUUAUUCUUAUUUUAAUUUAGAGGUUUAAGCGGUUUCAAUUGGAACAAAGAAAUUCAUAUGUUGAAACAGUAUAAAUAAAAUUAUUGCAGAAGUGAUUCAUUGUAAGUGAGAUGAAUGUCCAUACAAAGUACAAAUGAGAAAACACAGAAAUAGGAUCAUUGUGUGUAUUAGCAACAGUGCUUAUAGAUUCAUCAUGGCUCACAACAAAGGUAUUUAUAAGUGGAUCUCCCGCCUCUGUCACAUGCUGUCAUUGCUUUGAAUUGACUGCUGUUAAGUGUCUGUAAUCCCAAGCCCUAGGAUCUUGUCCUACAUGUUUACCCCACUUGGUAUGCCUGUGAGUAUUUAAAAUGAAAAUGAACUCUAAACUUUAUAUGUGUUAAUAACAAAGGAUUUUAAUCCCUUAAAACCCAUAUUUAUGAUUUUUUUACUAUAGUUUAUAAAAUAUAUGUUCAAUCUGAUAGCUUACAUUUGCCAGUUUUGCCAGUUAAGGUUGGUUACUGCCUACAAUUUUUUUACCUUGUUAGGAUGUCAUGGCAAUGAAAUUAAGGAAGAUGUUCAUGGAGGAAGAGAAGCAUAGAAUAACAGCAGCCACUGGGCACAUUUUUAAUAGAAAGUGUUGACAGCUUUUGUAGCUGUAACUUACUUGUCAUAUAGAAAACACAAUAAUAUUUUAUGGUAUAGAAGGGUGAUGACAGAUACAGAUACACUACAACUACUACUUGCGUGUUUAUGUUGAGAUGUUGAGAAGUCCAUUAAAACUAUCAUAUCCCAUCCCACCUCAAAGGUCAUUGUUCAAAUCAUAUAAUGGUUUGUGUUGAAAGGGACCUUAAAGAUCAGAUAGAUCCAAGUCUCCUGCCAUAGGCAGGGAUAUCUUCUGUAGAUCAGGCUAACCAAAGCCCUAUCCAGCAGGGUUAUGAACACUUCCAGGGAUGAGGCAUCCACAUUCAUCUCUGGGCAACCUGUUCCAAGGCCUCACCAUCCUCUUAAUAAAUAAUUUGUUCCCAUGGUCUAAUCUAAAUCUACCCUCUUUUAUUUUAAAGCCAUCAUUCCUUGUCUUUUUGCUCCCUGAUAAAGGGUAUCUCCCUGUCUUUCCUGUUGGCCUCCUUUAAGGACUGGAAGGCCAUCAAAAGGACUCCAACAGUCUUCUCUAAUCUAAACAAUCCCUACUCUUAGCCUGUUUUCAUAGAAAUGCUCCAGCCUUCUUCUGAGUCUUCUGGACUCAUUUUAACAGGGUUGUUUUUUGCACAGAGCCAGAGCUGAAUGCCAUAGUUCAGGCACAAACUCUACAAAAGGUCAGCAGAGGGGAAGAAUCAUCUCCAUUGACCUGCUGAUCGCUAUUCAUUUGAUGUAGCCCAGGAAGCAAUUGGCUUUCUUUGCUGCAGGCAUAUAUUGCCUACUCAUUUUGAAUUUUUCAUCCAACACCAGUAAGUCCUUCUCCACAGGGCUGUUCUCAAUCCAUUCAUCACCCAGCCUUUAUACAUGCUUGGGAUUGCCCUGACUUGUUGAACUUUAUGAGGUUAGCACAGGCUCAGUUCUCAAACCUCUAAAGGUCCUCCUAGAUGGCCUCACUUCCCUCCAGUGUGAGUCACACCAGAUCUUUGCAAACUUGCUGAGAGUGCACUCCAUCCUACUGUCCAUGUCACUGACAGAGAUAUUAAAUAAUACUGAUCCUAAUACCAACACUUAAAGGGCCAAACAGAUCUGUAGCUGGUCUCCACAAAGAUAAUCAAGCUGCUGACUCUAACUCUUUGAGUGGGACCCUAUCCACCAAGCAGACUACCUGUUAAAUCCACAUCUCUACAGUUUGGAGACAAGGAUAUUAUGUAGGACAGUGUCAAAUGCUUUACACAAGUCCUGGUAGAUUACAUCAGUUUGUUUUCCCUUAUCCACUAGUGCUGUAACCCUGUCACAUAAGGCCACCAAAUUUGUCAGACAUUAUUUGCCUUUAGUGAAGCCAUGGUGGCACACUCUCCAUUCUUCAGAUGCCAUAGCAUAGUUUCCAGGAUCUGCCUGUAUUUCCUGCCUAAUUAACUGUUCAGCCCAAAAAAUAUUUUUUCUUGCCCAAUGAAUUUACUGUGCUUUUUGACUACUUACUAUUUUAGGAAGAUGUGACAAUGGGUAGUACUAAACUAUUGCAUGUGUUAAGGAAAGCACAAAUAACAUAGUGAUGCUUGAAAACGAGUAUGUUAAAACUUUAUCAAAUGCUAGUAUCUAACUGUAGUAGUAAAAGUGUAAGCAGUAAACACAGGUAGUGCAGCCAAAUUCAAAUAAAUUAUUUUGCAUCAGAAUUGGAAAGAUUUGGUUCAGUUAUACAAAUCCUCAUUCACUUUAUAGAUAUAUGUUGUUAUAUUCAACACCUUUUUCCCCCAAAACAAUCAAAACACCAAAAUGUUUUCUUCUGCUUUUCCACAACUUUUUAUACAGAAGAUUUCUUCUACUAAAAUAUAAUUUUGAUGGUUUUAGGAAAUAUUUAUACCUCAAAUGCUUGUAUAUAUGUCUUGUAUGAAUGGAAAGAUUAUCAUAAUUAUCUUUUGGACUGCAUGGGUGUAUUAUUCAUUAUUACAUCAUUAUACUGUGGAGGAACUGGGUUGUAAUAUACAUGUCCAAAGAUUAUGCAUCAGUUAAAAAUCAUUAAAAUAAAUUUAUCUCUUUAUUACAUUUGUAACAUUAAUGAAAAAAAAAAAAUUGUCAGCUUUCCAGGAACAUUUUUUUAAUUUAGAACCUCUAAGAUUUCAUAGGAAAAUAUAUCAUGUAAUCAAACAGAAAUGCUUGGAAUUAUAGAUUCUGCAACACCAUAUUAUAUUCUGUGGAAGUCACUUAUGGAAAAAAAAAAACAAACCUAUUCUCAUAGUAUUCAGCUUCAUCUUAAUAAAACACAUGAUGACAGCAGGCACUAGUUGAAUUUAAGUUUGAAUUACAUUUUAUUGUGAUUGUGUUUUCGGCAUUCAGUUUAAUGAAAUAAUAUUCUUUGUGAAUCCUGACAUUUGAAAACAAAGCUGAAGAUUGUAAUUAAUUUAUUAAAUUAAACAGUUCUCCUUUGUAUAGUGUAUUACACUGUUUUCCUUAAAAGAUCUUAAAUUACUGGAAUUUCAUUUUAAUUUGAAAGCCUUUAUAAUAAAAGAAAAAUGAUUAUCUAUUACAAAACAAAUAUAUAUACAUCUAUGUACAUACAUGCAUUUUUGUAUAUAUGUGAACAGAAAUAAGGCAGAUUCUCAUUAAUGAUGUACGUUCAUCUCAUUAAUGAUUUGUGUUUUAUAUGUAUAUUUAUGUGCUUUUAUAUGUAUAUUUAUGCAUGUAUUCAUAUACAAAAUCUUGCAGCAAUGUUGAGCCCUCUAGUGGUAAGAAAAUUCUCAGUUAGGAAGGCUUUCUCAAAUUUUAUCUCUCUUAAAUGGCAGGUGUCCAAACUCAACAACGCUAUUAUACCAUCAUAGAUGUUCAGAAUGACUUCCCAUAGUCAAGACGGGUCUGUAUUUAUUUGAAAAUACAGUUCUUCUAAAAGAAGAGUACUUAUGAUACACUAAUGAUAGUUUGUAAUAUCUGUUUCAGAAAAACCACAACAACACGUGAAUACUGUCAAACUAAUUCUGUCAAAGCCACCAUCUGAUUUGCUACAACUGAAGACUUUGCCUGAGACAUGAGUACUCAUCUGAAGUAGCUGGCAUAUUGCAGAACAUGAAGAUUACAUGUAGCUGCAGAAGAUUAAUUAACUGGAAAGAAAACAUUACAAAUGCUAUUAAAAAAGAAAGAUCAAGAAAACGCACAUUUCCAGAAAGAUUUUUA
Molecule: non-coding RNA, 3874 nt
Organism: Meleagris gallopavo (turkey)
Lineage: Eukaryota; Metazoa; Chordata; Aves; Galliformes; Phasianidae
Source: RefSeq, a predicted model, not a curated record